GAUGAACGCUGGCGGCGUGCUUAACACAUGCAAGUCGAACGAUGAAGCCCAGCUUGCUGGGUGGAUUAGUGGCGAACGGGUGAGUAACACGUGAGUAACCUGCCCUUAACUCUGGGAUAAGCCUGGGAAACUGGGUCUAAUACCGGAUAGGAGCGCCUACCGCAUGGUGGGUGUUGGAAAGAUUUAUCGGUUUUGGAUGGACUCGCGGCCUAUCAGCUUGUUGGUGAGGUAAUGGCUCACCAAGGCGACGACGGGUAGCCGGCAUGAGAGGGUGACCGGCCACACUGGGACUGAGACACGGCCCAGACUCCUACGGGAGGCAGCAGUGGGGAAUAUUGCACAAUGGGCGAAAGCCUGAUGCAGCGACGCCGCGUGAGGGAUGACGGCCUUCGGGUUGUAAACCUCUUUCAGUAGGGAAGAAGCGAAAGUGACGGUACCUGCAGAAGAAGCACCGGCUAACUACGUG
Molecule: ribosomal RNA, 466 nt
Filed under: uncultured bacterium
Lineage: Bacteria
Description: partial 16S ribosomal RNA
Rfam family: Bacterial small subunit ribosomal RNA
Source: RNAcentral